AAGAUACUGCUUAAUGUACAGCUCCGUCAUAUUGUUUUUACUGCUACCUGCUGCUUUGGGUAUUAGGAAUCUCCAUGGCAAAUAGUAAAGGUCACUCUGCUAAAAACUCUAAAGAUUUAUGUCUGCCUAAGAUUCCUAAGUCAAAACUUAGAAUGCAGACCUCCCACAGCAAUAAGAGUGAGGAUUUGGAGCCAUGAGAAAACCUGGAUGGACUAUCCAUCCUUCCAGGAAUACAAAGACACAAUCAAGAUUCUCAGACAUCAUAUUAGCAGGUACCUUAGCCUUGAAAUUCAGACUCUGGUACUAUAAACAAUGAACUUCUGGACAGCAUGGCUUACAUGGGUUAGAAGAACUUCUAAAUGGGUGAUGAAGACCAGGGCAGACUCUGAAGUCCCCCAAUUGAGUAUGGCAUUGUCACCAACUGGGAUAACCUGGGGAAGAUAAGGCACGACCACAUCUACAAUGAGCCGUUUAUAGCCACUGAGGAACAUGUAGUGCUUCUGACUAUGGUCCCCAUGAGCCUCAAGGCAAGCAAAGAAUGAUGUCUCAGAUCAUGUUUGAAACUCCAAUACACCGGUCAUUAAAGUGGCUAACCUGACAGUA
Molecule: non-coding RNA, 603 nt
Organism: Rattus norvegicus (Norway rat)
Lineage: Eukaryota; Metazoa; Chordata; Mammalia; Rodentia; Muridae
Source: RefSeq, a predicted model, not a curated record